Molecule: ribosomal RNA, 497 nt
Filed under: uncultured bacterium
Lineage: Bacteria
Description: partial 16S ribosomal RNA
Rfam family: Bacterial small subunit ribosomal RNA
Source: RNAcentral
ACUCAAAUGAAUUGACGGGGGCCCGCACAAGCGGAGGAGCAUGUGGUUUAAUUCGAUGAUACGCGAGGAACCUUACCCGGGCUUGAAAGUUAUGGAAUGAUGUGGAAACAUGUCAGUCAGCAAUGACCAGAAACUAGGUGCUGCAUGGCUGUCGUCAGCUCGUGCCGUGAGGUGUUAGGUUAAGUCCUGCAACGAGCGCAACCCCUAUCAUUAGUUGCCAGCGGGUAAUGCCGGGGACUCUAAUGAGACUGCCUGUGCAAACAGCGAGGAAGGUGGGGAUGACGUCAAGUCAUCACGGCCCUUACGUCCGGGGCUACACACGUGCUACAAUGGUCGGUACAAUGGGAUGCUACAUGGUAACAUGAUGCUAAUCUCUAAAACCGGUCUCAGUUCGGAUUGAGGUCUGCAACUCGACCUCAUGAAGCUGGAUUCGCUAGUAAUCGUAGAUCAGCAAUGCUACGGUGAAUACGUUCCCGGGCCUUGUACACACCGCCCGU